RNAcentral lists this ribosomal RNA (495 nucleotides) under uncultured bacterium. RNAcentral's name for it is "partial 16S ribosomal RNA". It matches the Rfam family "Bacterial small subunit ribosomal RNA", at positions 28 to 506 of the family's 1533-position model. The record is from RNAcentral.
GAUGAACGCUGGCGGCGUGCCUAAUACAUGCAAGUCGAGCGAACAGACGAGGAGCUUGCUCCUCUGACGUUAGCGGCGGACGGGUGAGUAACACGUGGAUAACCUACCUAUAAGACUGGGAUACUUCGGGAAACCGGAGCUAAUACCGGAUAAUAUAUUGAACCGCAUGGUUCAAUAGUGAAAGACGGUUUUGCUGUCACUUAUAGAUGGAUCCGCGCCGCAUUAGCUAGUUGGUAAGGUAACGGCUUACCAAGGCAACGAUGCGUAGCCGACCUGAGAGGGUGAUCGGCCACACUGGAACUGAGACACGGUCCAGACUCCUACGGGAGGCAGCAGUAGGGAAUCUUCCGCAAUGGGCGAAAGCUUGACGGAGCAACGCCGCGUGAGUGAUGAAGGUCUUCGGAUCGUAAAACUCUGUUAUUAGGGAAGAACAAAUGUGUAAGUAACUAUGCACGUCUUGACGGUACCUAAUCAGAAAGCCACGGCUAACUACGU